CUCAGCCUCCCAAGUAGCUAGGAUUACAGGCAUGCACCACCUGUACCAGUGUGUACCACCUGUGCACCGGCUUUUUUUUUUUUUUUUUUUUUUGAGACAGUCUCACUGUGUCACCCGGGCUAGAGUACAGUGGUGUGAUCUCGGCUCACUGCAACCUCUGCCUCCUGGGUUCAAGCGAUUCUCCUGCUUCAGCCUCCAAAGUAGCUGGGAUUACAGAUGUGCGCCACCAUGCCUGGCUAAUUUUUUUGUAUUUUAGUAGAGACAGGGUUUCAUCAUGUUGGCCAGGCUGGUCUCAAACUCCUGACUUCAAGUGAUCCACCCACCUCGGCCUCCCAAAGUGCUGGGUUUACAGGCUUUAGCCACCCUCAGCAAUUCAUCCCACCAGAACAAAAGGCUAACAUAGCAAACUGGUAAAUUUAUCUGCACAGAAAAACUGAACUACAAGGGAUGAGGUACUUAACUUCCCACCUGAAGACCCAGGAAUUUUUUUUUUUUACUUUUCUUCAUUGAGAUAGGGUCUCUAUCGCUCAGACAGGAGUGCAGUGGCACAAUAUUGGCUCAUUAAGUCUCCAUCUGGGAUCAAAUGAUUUUCCCACCUCAGUCUCCCGAGUAGCUAGCACAGGUGCGUACCACAUCAGUCUGGCUUAUUUUUCCACCCUUCCUAGAAACGGUAUAAAAUACUUAGCGAGCAUCUAAUUAAAACAGACCGUAACCUAAGAAGACGUAAGGUCAUAACCACAACUCCAAAACCAAACGCGCGCCACUACAACAACUCUGAAAAUAAACACACGCAACAACACACAAGCCGUCUUUUAAACUAGUUCAAUCACAGGACAGAAAAGCGCAAAAGCAGUCCCCCACUACCACAAGUUAUGCAGCCGAGUUUUCUCAUUCGGGGAAAUCGCGGGAGCAAACACAUAGUAAAAACCCUCCCCCAAGAAAAACACUUUAUCAGGACCAACAGCGUCUCUCCCCC
This 976-nucleotide long non-coding RNA is filed under the name Homo sapiens (human). Its description in RNAcentral is "HSALNT0390841". The record is from RNAcentral. Lineage: Eukaryota; Metazoa; Chordata; Mammalia; Primates; Hominidae.